UUGGAGGGCAAGUCUGGUGCCAGCAGCCGCGGUAAUUCCAGCUCCAAUAGCGUAUAUUAAAGUUGUUGCAGUUAAAAAGCUCGUAGUUGAAUUUCGGAAUUUUUUUAUCGGUUGAAUCAACAGGUUCGUACUGAUUUUAAGAAUUUCUACCUUCUGGAGAACCUUAAUGUCAUUUAUUUGGUGUUUUGGGAAACCAGGACUGUUACCUUGAAAAAAUUAGAGUGUUUAAAGCAGGCUUAUGUCUGAAUAUAUUAGCAUGGAAUAAUGAAAUAGGACGGCAUGGUUCUAUUUUGUUGGUUUCUAGGAUCACCGUAAUGAUUAAUAGGGAUAGUUGGGGGCAUUAGUAUUCAAUUGUCAGAGGUGAAAUUCUUGGAUUUAUUGAAGACUAACUUCUGCGAAAGCAUUUGCCAAGGAUGUUUUCAUUAAUCAAGAACGGAAGUUAGGGGAUCGAAGACGAUCAGAUACCGUCGUAGUCUUAACCAUAAACUAUGCCGACUAGGAAUCGGACGAAGUUAAUUUUUUAAUGACUCGUUCGGCGCCUUACGGGAAAC
This 551-nucleotide ribosomal RNA is filed under the name uncultured Pacispora. RNAcentral's name for it is "SSU rRNA". It matches the Rfam family "Eukaryotic small subunit ribosomal RNA", at positions 548 to 1098 of the family's 1831-position model. The record is from RNAcentral. Lineage: Eukaryota; Fungi; Glomeromycota; Glomeromycetes; Diversisporales; Pacisporaceae.